This 516-nucleotide long non-coding RNA is filed under the name Chinchilla lanigera (long-tailed chinchilla). Its description in RNAcentral is "lncRNA (ENSCLAG00000029153.1)". Lineage: Eukaryota; Metazoa; Chordata; Mammalia; Rodentia; Chinchillidae. The record is from RNAcentral.
AAUGAUAAUGAAUGAAAAAAUGUUUUUCUUUUGUUUUGUAAGUUGUUAAUUGGUUUGGGGGAUAAAACAUUCUCUGACACCACCAGGUGCAGAUUCCCAAAGGACAUUCAACUAGAGUAACAUAGGAAGAUGAUGAGAAAUAUUUUUAAUGAAAUUUCACUAAGCAAAGAACCUAACUACAUAAAGCAAAAACAAGAAACUGAGGAGAAAGUCAUAGGUGUUCCACUGGGUUGAAACUGCUCAGAGAUCCCAUCAAAGGAAAGGGGUGUAUGUUCUCACAAACACCAGGACGCCUCUGUUAUUAAUUCAGGAAUACAUUUCUGAAAAGAGGAAGCUCUUUAGUAACUGAAAAUGAAAUUGUGCCCACACAGUUGAGAAAUGUCAACAAAGGUCUCCUUUUUCAAUAAAGCCACAUUUACCACAUAGCAUAAAGAUUCACUAUUGGAACAAUGCCAAAUGCUAAAAUAAGUUGAAUUUUUCAUUUAGUAUACCAGAGUAAAAUUUAGAAUUCUGUCU